GCAGGCAGAUCCAUUCUCUGCCACCGAAUACAUUAGCAUGGGAUAAUGGAAUAGGACCCUGUCCUCCUAUUUUCAGUUGGUUUUGGCAGCGCGAGGACUAGGGUAAUGAUUAAUAGGGAUAGUUGGGGGCAUUAAUAUUUAAUUGUCAGAGGUGAAAUUCUUGGAUUUAUGAAAGAUUAACUUCUGCGAAAGCAUCUGCCAAGGAUGUUUUCAUUAAUCAAGAACGAAAGUUAGGGGAUCGAAGACGAUCAGAUACCGUCGUAGUCUUAACCAUAAACGAUGCCGACCAGCGAUUAGGAGACGUUGAAUACAAAACACCACCAUCGGUGCGGCUGUUCUUGGCGUCGGUUUCGGCCGGCGCGGGGAUGGCUUAGCCCGGUGGCACCGGUGAAUGACUCCCCUAGCAGCUUGUGAGAA
Molecule: ribosomal RNA, 417 nt
Filed under: Acanthamoeba genotype T4
Lineage: Eukaryota; Discosea; Longamoebia; Acanthamoebidae
Description: SSU rRNA
Rfam family: Eukaryotic small subunit ribosomal RNA
Source: RNAcentral